CCUUGAGAGUCCUGAAGGAACGUUGAAGACGACGACGUUGAUAGGCCGGGUGUGUAAGCGCAGCGAUGCGUUGAGCUAACCGGUACUAAUGAACCGUGAGGCUUAACCUUACAACGCCGAAGCUGUU
This 127-nucleotide ribosomal RNA is filed under the name Escherichia coli. RNAcentral's name for it is "partial 23S ribosomal RNA". The stretch from base 1 to 110 matches the Rfam family "Bacterial large subunit ribosomal RNA", at positions 2813 to 2925 of the family's 2925-position model. Lineage: Bacteria; Pseudomonadati; Pseudomonadota; Gammaproteobacteria; Enterobacterales; Enterobacteriaceae. RNAcentral also lists the same sequence under 9 other names. The record is from RNAcentral.